CAACAAUCAGCAGAGGAUGGACAAGCAGCCUUGAGGAUCAAACACUGAAGAGGACCCUUGAAAAAUAGCCUUUUAAAGUUGUGAAUGUAUUUAUACACAGCAUGGCUCAAAAAAUAUGAUAACAUACAAAAUAUGAAUGUCUAACUGCAUGUCUGUUUGCUACAUUAACACAUUCAUUUCUAUAUAAUGCACAAAAAAAAAAAAAAUGAAAUAAGCCGUUUCAAUCUGACUGACUGACUCUCUAUGCAUCUUCCAGGAGUUGGAGGAUGAUCACCUGCAAACGAAAUUUUGUGUGAAGAUACUAGAAUGAAUAUGUUUGAAGAAGAACUAAUUGCUUUGACAAUAUUCACCAGGAACAACUGGACUUCCUUCGCAGCAUCACUGAAGCAUCUGUUCAGAGGAAAGCAUGAGGUCAGUAGCGCUGGCCGUGUAGUUGCCAUGGCAACCGUUCUACAGCAGAUCGCUUUACAUUCUCCUGGUGCAUCACUACAAAUGUGUCUCACUCAACACAGAUAUUUUUACCCUCGACGAGAGCUGUCCUUCUGAAAGGGCUUGUGCUGAGAAGAAAUUCUUUAAAGCCCUGCGAUAUUGUGAUGCUUAUGUUUAUGUUCGAGAUCCAAGAAAUCUCAAUAUUGUAUGUGUAAAAUAAUCAUUUGAUUUUGAAGCUUUUAGCCUAUUAAUUGUCCUUUGAAUUUUUUGAUCUAUAAAUGAGCCAAAUCCCAGGCAUUAUUACAGAUUUCACCAUUCUAUAAGAUCUGUAUUGAUUUGUUUGUUAAAAACAAGCUUUUGUCACAAGACAUUAACUGAUGGACUGGAGUAGUGUGAAUUACUUGUGGAUUAUUGUGAUGUUUUUAUCAGCUCUCAUUCUGACGGCACCCAUUCACUGCAGAGCAUCCAUUGCUGAGACACUGAUGCAAUGCUACAUUUCUCCAAAUCUGAUGAAGAAACAAACUCAUCUACAUCACCUAUAGCAUGAGGGUGAGCACAUUUUCAGCAAAUCUUAAUUUUUGGCUGAACUAUCCCUUUCAACAUUAUUGCUGAUUUCAGCUUCAAAAAGAAAAGAAAUUAAGUAACCAAUUGAAUCAUUCAAACUCCUAUCGAAUGUAAUAACUCCUCUUCAUGAGGUAGCAAUGCCUCUAUCAGUACAUCACUUGAUAGGGAGUAUAUUUCUUUCUCUCUUGCAUCACCAAAUGAGUUGCAUCAUCCUCCCGCUGUGCAUGCAGUAACAUUACUCAUCGUGUGACAUGCAUGUGUUGUGUCUGGUCAUCUGAACAGAUUGCCUGGGAAACAUAACAGUGUCUUUGCCGGCUGCUCUGUUCUGAGAAAACAGCGUGUCAUGAGAACAAUGCCGUCAUUUGGCUCCGGAUGGGACUGUGCAAAUCAAUCGGCCUUUAAAUGGAGCGACACAAUCAGCAUUGGGUUUCCAUCACAUCAGAGUUCAGAUGCUUUGGCGAUGCAGGAAGGUAAAUGGUGGGUGUGUGAGGUUAUAUGGUUACCGGGAAAUGCGCAGUCAUGAUUGCAUCUGAUGUGGUGCAUGGGCUUGCAC
Molecule: long non-coding RNA, 1546 nt
Organism: Cyprinus carpio (common carp)
Lineage: Eukaryota; Metazoa; Chordata; Actinopteri; Cypriniformes; Cyprinidae
Source: Ensembl